UACGUAGGUCCCGAGCGUUGUCCGGAUUUAUUGGGCGUAAAGCGAGCGCAGGUGGUUUAUUAAGUCUGGUGUAAAAGGCAGUGGCUCAACCAUUGUAUGCAUUGGAAACUGGUAGACUUGAGUGCAGGAGAGGAGAGUGGAAUUCCAUGUGUAGCGGUGAAAUGCGUAGAUAUAUGGAGGAACACCGGUGGCGAAAGCGGCUCUCUGGCCUGUAACUGAUACUGAGGCUCGAAAGCGUGGGGAGCAAACAGG
This 252-nucleotide ribosomal RNA is filed under the name uncultured bacterium. RNAcentral's name for it is "partial 16S ribosomal RNA". It matches the Rfam family "Bacterial small subunit ribosomal RNA", at positions 524 to 776 of the family's 1533-position model. The record is from RNAcentral.